Molecule: ribosomal RNA, 1064 nt
Filed under: Latilactobacillus curvatus
Lineage: Bacteria; Bacillati; Bacillota; Bacilli; Lactobacillales; Lactobacillaceae
Description: bacterial SSU rRNA
Rfam family: Bacterial small subunit ribosomal RNA
Source: RNAcentral
GAGUGAGUGGCGGACGGGUGAGUAACACGUGGGUAACCUGCCCUAAAGUGGGGGAUAACAUUUGGAAACAGAUGCUAAUACCGCAUAAAACCUAGCACCGCAUGGUGCAAGGUUGAAAGAUGGUUUCGGCUAUCACUUUAGGAUGGACCCGCGGUGCAUUAGUUAGUUGGUGAGGUAAAGGCUCACCAAGACCGUGAUGCAUAGCCGACCUGAGAGGGUAAUCGGCCACACUGGGACUGAGACACGGCCCAGACUCCUACGGGAGGCAGCAGUAGGGAAUCUUCCACAAUGGACGAAAGUCUGAUGGAGCAACGCCGCGUGAGUGAAGAAGGUUUUCGGAUCGUAAAACUCUGUUGUUGGAGAAGAACGUAUUUGAUAGUAACUGAUCAGGUAGUGACGGUAUCCAACCAGAAAGCCACGGCUAACUACGUGCCAGCAGCCGCGGUAAUACGUAGGUGGCAAGCGUUGUCCGGAUUUAUUGGGCGUAAAGCGAGCGCAGGCGGUUUCUUAAGUCUGAUGUGAAAGCCUUCGGCUCAACCGAAGAAGUGCAUCGGAAACUGGGAAACUUGAGUGCAGAAGAGGACAGUGGAACUCCAUGUGUAGCGGUGAAAUGCGUAGAUAUAUGGAAGAACACCAGUGGCGAAGGCGGCUGUCUGGUCUGUAACUGACGCUGAGGCUCGAAAGCAUGGGUAGCAAACAGGAUUAGAUACCCUGGUAGUCCAUGCCGUAAACGAUGAGUGCUAGGUGUUGGAGGGUUUCCGCUCUUCAGUGCCGCAGCUAACGCAUUAAGCACUCCGCCUGGGGAGUACGACCGCAAGGUUGAAACUCAAAGGAAUUGACGGGGGCCCGCACAAGCGGUGGAGCAUGUGGUUUAAUUCGAAGCAACGCGAAGAACCUUACCAGGUCUUGACAUCCUUUGACCACUCUAGAGAUAGAGCUUUCCCUUCGGGGACAAAGUGACAGGUGGUGCAUGGUUGUCGUCAGCUCGUGUCGUGAGAUGUUGGGUUAAGUCCCGCAACGAGCGCACCCUUAUUACUAGUUGCCAGCAUUUAGUUGGGCACUCU